This 5142-nucleotide ribosomal RNA is filed under the name Triticum aestivum (bread wheat). RNAcentral describes it as "partial small subunit ribosomal RNA". The record is from RNAcentral. Lineage: Eukaryota; Viridiplantae; Streptophyta; Magnoliopsida; Poales; Poaceae.
GAGAGCGCGGCGCGCAGAACACGGGUGGGGUUAGGGAGGUCGGCGGCGACGGUGUAAAGAGGAGGUGGGGGAGCAGAGAGAGGAGACCUUGAGGGAGGAGAAGGCGCGCGGGUAGUGGGUCGCGAGCGCGCGAGCGGAGGACCUGGUCGGCGGCAGCGCGGCGACCCGGAGCAGGUGGCGCCUAAAGGUACCCCUUCCUCGUUGCUGCCCCGAUCCGAGGUCCGCCGCGUGUGAAGUACCCCUCCGUUCCUUGGUCCUCCACUACCCCAGUCUAGACCGCCACCAUUCAGCCUCGAGCUCGGUUCCGGCACUGCCCCUUCCAGUUUUUUAUCCCUCUGGCCUACCUCCACGAACUCCGCCUCCUUCCGGGCAGCCGUUCGAACUCGACCUCUGCGUGUUAAUCGCCGUGGCCGGUAGCCUACCAUCCUCGUGCUCCGUCGCGAGGGCAGCGACCCACCACCUCGACGUGUCCUCCCCCUCCUCCGACCGCUGUCCCUUGGCCCGGCCCUCCUCCGUUCCAUAGACAACAGUACACAAAAAAAAAAAAAACGUAAAAAGAGGAUGGCACGUAGAUAAGUAACAGCCUCACCUAAGUAUCGUUGUUUAAAAACCUAUUUAUUACUCACGGUUCUAUACAUACAACUGUUUACCUACUCUCCACAAGUCUCUUUCUAAACUCGGUAUGUACGCGGUCCAAGACUCUUAGACACUUACAUUAACCUUAUAAAAGUUAACGUUUAGUAAGGGAUUAUAAUACCAAUAUUCAGAAAAAAAGCAGGACUACAAGAGUUAUAAAGAUCUAUUGGUACAAAACAACCUGAAUAACUAUUUCAUUUAAAAGACCAUGUUCAAACCGAGGUUCCUUUCAAUAACAUAAAUGAUUAUAAAAAAAUUAAAUUGUGGUACUGAUACGGAGCUAUAAUGUUAACAGCAUUACCACACCUAACGAUAUAUUUCAAGAUACAAACUUCCCUACACAACAGUCUUUAAGAGUAUGUGCUAAGAAAUCAUCCUUCCCUUAAAGUCAGGAAGUUUUCACUUCUACUAGUACGGAAAGACAACCUAAACCAAAAAACCAAAUUCGUUAGUAAGUCCAAUAACUUUGUGGGCACACGGAGAAAAGAACAGACUAUACUCCUUUUACCAAAUCUCAUUAAUGGCCGUCCUCCUAGCGACCCACCAUCGACUCACCCUCCCAAGUCUAAUCCCUAAUGCUCAUACUUCAUCUACACUAUCUAACAUUGAGAAGAGCGAACUAAUUAAGUAGAGUUCUCCAGGUGAAAUAUAUAUCUCCGGAUUGUUAAUUUUUUAAUUAGUAGGAAUGUACGUAUGUACGUACGCAGUGAGACCUCGGUUUUUGAUUAAUGCUCAUACGUCCAACGUCAGGGAACGAGAUGUAUAUUGAGCGGUUGAGAUGAUUAAGUACAUAGUCAUAUACGUAUAUACAUCAGGCAAGGGUCAUGUACACAAGCCUUCUGACCUGUAAACAUGAAUAAGUUUUAAAAGAAAAGUAUUUUCAAGGAACCUUCUCUAACGAUUCAAAUUGCUCGUUACAGGGAAAAUGUAGAUAAAUGUCUCACAAAAGAAAACCAAAGUGGUGUAAAAAUCCAAAAAUGUCCAACACAUAUCAUCUCCUCCGUAACUCCUACUUUGUACUUACAGGUAACAAGAACAGGCGAGGACUAGAGUCAUCUGGACACACUACACGAGAACUAGGAAAGAAGAAAAAAAACAAUUUACUUAGAGACUGGCUCCUCUCGUACAAGAAAAUAAGCCAACGUUAGCACUUUGAAAAAAACCCAAAAGAAUAACAUGUCAUGCUUGGAAGGUUUAAUAAACUAGGACCUUUAUUCAACGGUUAAAAGACACACGUUACUCGACCCUCGGCCCCAGUCGGGAGAGUGGUGGUCAGCUUGUAUGUUGAAGUCGGUGGUACAGCUCACUAUAUUUUCACAAGAGACAAAGUAUCUCGUUGCGGUGCUCUUACACGGAGGAGAAAGAGGACCACGUACAACGACGGGAGGAAAGGGGAGACUGAACUGAACGAAAUGUAACACACUUCAACAAAUGAAAGUUGAAAUGUUGCGAUAUAGUUCAAGCGUUGACAUGAACCGAUGUUGAUAUUGUACUACGUAAAGAGAAGGUCAAAUAACUUAUAUAAAAAUUCCUAACUUACAAGAUAGACCAUGACAGGAUAGUGAGUAAAUUGAUAGAAUUAAACAAGUGUUUUGAGGAAGACAUCGAUUCUAAAGAAACAUGUUGUGUAUGAUUAAUAACGAGAAUAAGAAUUUAGAAUAAAGUGAAAUAAGUCAACAUCCGACCCAAUUCUAACAAAAACACGGUCUUUGUCUGAUCCGUUACGAGAUUGGAACCGUCGUUUUUAGCAGAUUUAAAGUAUUUAUUCCAUCACCUUAUAGAAACUUAUACAAGUAAAUUUAUAGAACUCAAGUGGACAUACCCAACGAAGACGCGUGUGAAAGAAACUAUGCUUAAAGAUCCACUCUUUAAGAAAGUACCAUUACUACAUAAUAGCUAUAAAUGAUACAAAGAAUCCGGAUAUCCAAAGAAAAACACCCUACGUUAAUGCCAUGUUAUACUUAUACUAGGAACUCAACGUAUAAUAACGGAAACCUGUAUCUGUACACGGUACAUCAUAUUGUAAAUAUUUCUUACAGAACCUUUAACGUUCAUCUACUAAUGCCAAUGGGACAUUGGAAUCCUCAUUCUAUAUAUACUACUAUCUUAGAUCUCUAAGAACGAUUAGAUAUUGUUAUUCUAGGUUAGUGCACGUUAUACAAAAUAAGUAUUUUUGUCCCUUAGUUAGACCGACUUUCAUCAGUAGAAUACCGUACCGCACUUCUCCAACAAGUGUUUGGAGACAAUCCACGAGGUAGGAAACAGUGAGACUUAACUAAAGGAUUAUAGACCGAAGAGACUUGUCUACACACGUCUAGACUCUUUCUUCUCCUUAUUAGGUCUUGUUAAAUCACUUAUUCUUGUUCAACCGUAAAGAGAGAACACUUGCGUCAGUACGGACGGAUAACUAAAAUAAUAAACACGAUUACGUUUGUACUUAAGAGAUAUCAAGAACUGCGUCGUGGCGAUUAAUGAGUUAGACGUUAUGUACUAGUAAAGACCAUCUUCAAAUCACGUACUUAAUCGUAAGACAUUUCAACCAGAUUCGAGUACAGAGAUCCGGUCCUAUCUAAAGAGUUAUAGUAAAAACCCUAACAAACUUGUGACUCGUUGUAACGGUCCAGUUGGUAAAGAGUAAAGAAACAGUAUAGACAUUUUGUAACUGUGUGGUUCGAAUGCCCACCACAGAGUUAAAACAGUGGUCGGUGAAGGUGGCUGGGCAUUUGACAGACAGAGCUCCAGAGGGGUUGAUACAAACCCAAAUCUUUUUGUUUCUUGAUAAAACUUCAGUAAAAGCGUAGUCGAUGAAACAUCCAUAAUACACGCAACAGUCCCUAGAUUAUAGUACAUCAAGGUCCCUAAAGUCUUCCAGACCAGUCAGGUAACAAGAACGGUACACAAUGAAAAAGAGUAAUGACACUAGCAGUCACGAGAACUGUAACCAAUGAAAAAGAGUAAUGACACUAGCAGUCACGAGAACUGUAGCCAAUGAAAAAGAGUAAUGACACUAGUAAACACGAGAACUGUAGCCAACAAGAACGAAAUACCAACGGAAGGGUCACGUGAAAAUAAUCAACAUUGUAUAAUUACAAUUAUACGAACUAACUGGUAUAAUAUAUAAAGUGAAGUGGCCCCACCAACCACCUUCACCACCAAUUUUAUAAAACCAAUUUUGUUACAGAGAUUAAUUGUUCAAAUAUGUCAACUUAGAAGAACUAACCGAUAAAACAUCGAACGAGAAUCAACAUAUCAUAAUUAAGAAUUUUGACCUAGAGAAUUUUAAUCAAUUUAACUUACUCAACGAAGUGACAAAAGUUUAUUCAUCAAAGUAGGGAGUGACACAGGACUUGAAUAAGAAUGACGGAAAAUACUGAAUUUACAUUGAUAACCGUAUAUUAGAGUACCGAAUUUUAGAAUCAACUCUUACAUAAAUCUUCAAUAUUCUAGACCUCAAAGGUGAUAAAGUAGGUCGCCAUAAGGGUCAUUGACUUAUAAUUCUCGUGACUGCUAGUAUCCAACAUGUAAAUCAAUGGCCCUUUACGAAAAUAGAACGUCCGGUCAAAAUGUAAAUGAAAAAGUUAUUACUCUACUGAUACUUGUCUCAUAGUUCAAAAAACGGAACCGUAAUGACGGCGACAGAUGCCUACCAAUGAUUUUCUUCUUCCUAAGUUCGCCGUAUGGAAGUGAACUGUCUACGAAAUUGGCGUUCUUGACAACAAUAAAAGAAAAGGAAAGGAUGAGGGAGGCAGGCUUUUAUGAACAGUAGUUUUACCUACUUUUCCCUACAUAGAUCUUGAUUUUAUGCAGAUCUAUGUAGAGGAAAAUAGGUAAAACUACUGUUCAUAAAGGCCUGCCUCCCUCAUGUAACUAAAGGAUGUUACUACUAUCAAACGGAAACUAAGAUCUUCAGGGUUUCCCCUGACUUCCCAUCUCUAAAGGUAACAGCAACUUAACCACCCUAACAGUGGUUGAAUCACAACGUCUAACAAAGAUAAAAUCUCGUUCUUCGGUUUAGUACAACAAGUAACAUUUAGAACUUAUUGAACAAAUGACAGUGAAGAUAUAGAUAACAUUUGAAAGCAAGGACCACACCAUGAAUAGUUAGAACCACACGGGAAGGUAACGUCAAAGAAGUUUUUUUAUUUAGAGUAAAGUUCAAACGUGGAGAUAAUAUCAUCUUGUACAGUAUUUGUACCGUAACCCGUAAUAAACAGUUCAAGGGAAGUUUUUCCUCUCUAAAGAUAUCUCUCACCGAGGUAUUGAUUUCUCUACUGUUUGCAACACGUUCCAUAACAAACAAGACGAGUAAAGUUUUAAAUUCUUUAAUGUUACGUACACUUGAUAUCUCCAACACUUCCUGCUUUACGAUACCUAGGUCUCCUCACCCUCCCUUCUCAAAUGGUUCCUGUUCGCACUGAAACCUAAGGCUUCAAGGUCGAUUGUAUCGUUUUAACACAUCUAUCUUACGGACGUAAAACUUUUAAGAUGACAUAAUGUAUCAAACAC